Poecilia latipinna (sailfin molly) is the source of this 687-nucleotide long non-coding RNA. RefSeq lists it as uncharacterized. The record is from RefSeq and is a predicted model, not a curated record. The transcript is spliced from 4 exons. Lineage: Eukaryota; Metazoa; Chordata; Actinopteri; Cyprinodontiformes; Poeciliidae.
CCACACCGUCGGGAACGACUGCACAACAUGCUGGAGACGGUGGCCGCGCCGCUCCUCUCAGAGUUAACUUUUUAAUCCCGGUUUUGUUGCUUUAUCACUAGAGAGGAGGAGGCGGAGGAGGUCGAGGAGACAGACGGGGAGAAAAAGUCAGUCAUGCCAAGAGGUUAGGGUGAGAGCCGGGGGAGCGUCUUCUUGUGAAAGAAGCCCGUCGGUAUUUGUUUGUGUUGAAGGGGGACAGAAUAAAGAGGGAAGAGGGGGAAGCAGGGGGUCGAGAAGCCCGGAGAAGAGCGAGAGAAAAGUGGGGUUGAAGAUGCAGCUGGCCGCGGUGCUGUGGGGCGUCCUGGCAACUUUGUUCCUCAGCCAGAGUCCAGCUUUUUCUGUAAAAGAUUUGUCGUAAUUGCUGGUAAACGGCAAGGAACCGAUCGAAAACCUUUUGAUAAGGUCAAAAACGGAAGAACAAGUCUAGAUGGUUAGGUUGGCAUUGGCCAGGCUGUUGCUUACGCCAGAGGACGGGGGAACAGGCCACCCGAUACCCCCGCUGCGCUUUGUGUGUCUCUUCAGAAAGGAUGGAAUUGCACCUCCAAGGUAGCAGUGGAGCGGGGGCCUGCUGUGGAGGACAGAAAGAUAAGCAGGCCUGGAGACUCGCUGUCUGAGCACACCAGUGGAGGGGGGAGCAGGGACACAAAG